UAAGGAAUAUUGGUCAAUGGGCGCAAGCCUGAACCAGCCAUGCCGCGUGCAGGAUGACGGCCCUAUGGGUUGUAAACUGCUUUUGUACGGGAAAAAACCCUCCGACGUGUCGGGGGCUGAUGGUACCGUAAGAAUAAGGAUCGGCUAACUCCGUGCCAGCAGCCGCGGUAAUACGGAGGAUCCUAGCGUUAUCCGGAUUUAUUGGGUUUAAAGGGUGCGCAGGCGGAAUUAUAAGUCAGUGGUGAAAUCCUACAGCUUAACUGUAGAACUGCCAUUGAUACUGUUAUUCUUGAGUAUAUUUGAAGUGGGCGGAAUGUGUCAUGUAGCGGUGAAAUGCUUAGAUAUGACACAGAACACCAAUUGCGAAGGCAGCUCACUAAGCUAUAACUGACGCUCAUGCACGAAAGCGUGGGGAUCAAACAGG
This 424-nucleotide ribosomal RNA is filed under the name uncultured bacterium. RNAcentral's name for it is "bacterial SSU rRNA". It matches the Rfam family "Bacterial small subunit ribosomal RNA", at positions 355 to 776 of the family's 1533-position model. The record is from RNAcentral.